Molecule: long non-coding RNA, 560 nt
Organism: Drosophila montana
Lineage: Eukaryota; Metazoa; Arthropoda; Insecta; Diptera; Drosophilidae
Exons: 3
Source: RefSeq, a predicted model, not a curated record
UUUAACAUACAGAAGCGUCUGCAUGCCAAAGCGCAGGGCUUUACCUCUGGUUGUUUUUGAAGCCCUAGGCGAAAGAAGGAUGGAAUCCGAGAAGUGAAAUAUUCCUGUAUAUACUAUACCAGGAUCUGCAUGCUUAAAAGACUUAGUCUGAAAAUCGAGGCGAUGCAAAAGGAAGAAGAUAUCGAAAAUCUUUUGUAGUUCCCGAGUCGGGUCUCAGCUCUACCUCCUGUCCAAGAGUACAAAUACCUAAUGAGGUCGGAGUUCAUUUCUUCUGCCUAUUGCAUACCUUCCAAUCUUUCCUCUACAAUGGAUUCAGGAUAUGAGAAAUCGUAUAUGCCAACUCCCUGACUGCCCGGAAUAAUCAGUCAACCACAAGGGCAUUGAACAUCUCGAAGGAGUAUAGUGCAGAGUCUAUGUCAGAUGAGCUAUCUGGGCGCUGAAGAGCAACUGCAAAGAGAGGUUGCUGGUUCAAACCACAGACUUUUGUCUAGUUAAGGCUAUUUAGAGGUUAGUUCAAGUGUUUUUUCACCUUCUGCUAUUUACAAUACACAUUUUUUCCU